AAAGCAGGGGCCGAGGAGCCAGCAGUGGUCCAGACAUGCGCCUGCUCAGACCACAGACCGGUACCUGAGGUGACCCUUGUUGGAUUUGUAGCUCCAAGUGAGACUACGGUCCCUGGAGGCUCCAAGUGCGGUCAGGUUCCUGGAUGCUUCUGCCUCUCCCGGAUGACAAAACCAACUGGAGUUGAAUGGGCUAUUCCCUAGAAUCACCGGCAGCUCAGGCAGGAUACCCUCUCCCAAGCGACAGCUUAUACUUUUCUGAAACAAAGGUCCCUGAAGAUGGCUCUGAUGGUCUUCUUGUAACAGAUGGGAGCAGCUCCCCAUUGUCAUGUUCCAGCACUUACUUCUUACUGGCGCCUGAGACUAGAGGAGGACUGCGUACAGGAAUGGGGCAUGUGUCAAGUCUGUCAGGAGAGGAGCUGUCGCAAAGCCCGUGCACUGUUUUGCAGGAAACAGCCAGGCUCUGGCAAGGCUGCAGCGGAAAUGGAGUCUAGAAUUGUCCCUGGAUUUGUUGUUCUUUUCUCCUGGAAUCCUUGCAGGCUGCAUCCUAGCAAUUGCAAAAGUGGGUGUUCAUGGGUUGGGAUACCAGGAGUUUCUGGCAAGCACCCUUUAGAAGCAAGACUGAAAGGACAUGUUUGAGGUCCUUCUGUGCUAAGACUGCCUGCCAUUGAAGUACUGACUCCAACCCCCUCCAGGCUACUGUUUGCAGCCCAGCUCAGUACUCAAGUCAGGAGCAAUGCCAUAUCUGGGAGUAUGCUGUCAUAAAGACUUCUAUACAAACCAGAAAGGAAAAGAUACUGGGACCCAACUGACCCACUGCAGUGACUCAGAACACUGGGAAGGACCUCAAUCUUGGAAACUCAAGAAGAUGUCCUGAGUUUGCUCUCUGAAACCUCAGUUGUAUGGUGGUCAGACUUGCCCAAUGGGAAUCUGACAGAAUCUGGCUUCAAUCUAGUCAUUUGCUAAUUCCCCAGUGGGAAUUUUCUCUUCUGCUGACUGGAUUGACUUUAGGACUGUUUGGCUUGUAGAAUUUGUCUUCUGGGGUCUGCUAAUAGAGGUCUAUUCUUGGCAGAGUUUCUUUUCCAAGCAGCUGUUUUGAAGAAAGCUGACAUCACCCUCGGCCCUGAGAUUUGAGACUGACUAUGUUGCAUCUCCUCAUCUGCCUGGAUUACUCAGUUCACUUGGCUCUGCUGGCCUCCUUCAGAGAGAUGCACACACACACACACACACACACACACACACCUGGCUGGGAGGCCACCAUGAAUUCACUAAACACAGAUGAAAAUGUGAAUUCUUAGCAUGAUAUUUGUGGCCCCCAAACCCCUUUUCUCUGUCAGAAAUGAAAGUUACCAUGCCGUGGGCCCUGGAGAGAAGCCAGCUGAACUACAGGACAGGUCGCAGGUGCUGGCCUCUCACUGCUGUGUGUGAGACAUCUAGAACAGCCUGGCGUGGAGUAGACACUGCACACAAUGGCUGCAAGUUGCAGACCAGCACUGACCUGAGAAAUGGCAGUUUCCUGCCCUAGCCUCUUCUCUCUGCCUGUCUUCAUUCAUGUGACAAUGCUGAAGAAAGGGUUCGGGAGCCAUCAAACCCUCUCUUUACCACCGUCUCACUACCAGGUAUGGAGGGUGCUGGGGAUAUAUGUUUUUCACUCAGAGGGGCCUGGCCCCUGGAGUGACACCUUACACAGGUGGAACACGUUUUUCAUGCCAGUUAGUGUCAAAUAGAGAGCUCCCUAAGCCUCAGCCUUGUCACUGUAGGAAGCCGUUUAAUACUGGACUCCUCUCCCUGCCCCCUUUUUUAUUUUGUAUGUAUAUGGGUGUUUGCCUGCAUGUGUAUCUGUGCACUAUGUGUGUGUGUGUGCAGUGCCUACAGAAGCCAGAAGAGGGCAUCAGAUCCCCUAGGACUGAAGCUAUUGAAAGUUGUGAGUUGCCGUGUGGGUGUUAGGAAUUGAACAUGGGUUCUCUAGGUGAGCAGCCAGUGUUCUUAACUGCUGACAUUUCUCCAGCCCUACCUUAAAAAAAAAAAAAAAGAUUUCAUUUUAUAUUAUUAGUAGAAAAUAAAGGGUUUGUCUCAU
This 2074-nucleotide long non-coding RNA is filed under the name Mus musculus (house mouse). RNAcentral describes it as "RIKEN cDNA 4930506A18 gene, transcript variant 4 (4930506A18Rik)". Lineage: Eukaryota; Metazoa; Chordata; Mammalia; Rodentia; Muridae. The record is from RNAcentral.